UGUGCCUACGGGAGGCAGCAGUGAGGAAUAUUGGUCAAUGGACGCAAGUCUGAACCAGCCAUGCCGCGUGCAGGAUGACGGCUCUAUGAGUUGUAAACUGCUUUUGUACGAGGGUAAACCCCGAUACGUGUAUCGGGUUGAAAGUAUCGUACGAAUAAGGAUCGGCUAACUCCGUGCCAGCAGCCGCGGUAAUACGGAGGAUCCGAGCGUUAUCCGGAUUUAUUGGGUUUAAAGGGUGCGUAGGCGGAUUUUUAAGUGAGAUGUGAAAUACUCGGGCUCAACUUGAGUGCUGCAUUUCAAACUGG
RNAcentral lists this ribosomal RNA (305 nucleotides) under uncultured bacterium. Its description in RNAcentral is "bacterial SSU rRNA". It matches the Rfam family "Bacterial small subunit ribosomal RNA", at positions 334 to 636 of the family's 1533-position model. The record is from RNAcentral.